GACCUUUGGCAGCACAUAUACUAAAAUUGGAACAAUACAGAAAAGGUUAGUAUGGCCCCCGCACAAGGAUGACAAGCAAAUUCAUGAAGCAUUGCAUAUAUAU
Small nuclear RNA from Trichosurus vulpecula (common brushtail), 103 nucleotides. NCBI's taxonomy places the organism in Eukaryota, Metazoa, Chordata, Mammalia, Diprotodontia, Phalangeridae. The record is from RefSeq and is a predicted model, not a curated record.